Molecule: small nuclear RNA, 103 nt
Organism: Rhinolophus ferrumequinum (greater horseshoe bat)
Lineage: Eukaryota; Metazoa; Chordata; Mammalia; Chiroptera; Rhinolophidae
Source: Ensembl
UUGCUUCAGUAGCACAUACACUAAAAUUAAAAUGACACAGAGAGGAUUAGCAUAGUUUCUGCCCAAGGAUUACACACAAAUUCAUGAAGUUUCCAUAUUUUGU